CAUUUGCCUGUUGUGGAGAAUGGAGAGGUCAUUGCUUUACUUGAUAUAGCAAAGUGUUUAUAUGAUGCCAUUGCUCGAAUGGAAAGAGCAGCUGAAAAGGGAAAGGCUAUUGCUGCUGUUGUGGAAGGUGUUGAAAAACAUUGGGGCACAUCUGGUUCUGGUUAGUAGAGAGUUUAGUGUUUUCUUUAGACAAAGAAAAGGAAGAAGUGACUGAAAUUACACACACAAAAGAAGAUGGCACUGUAAGGGAGAAGCUAAGAUCGGAAUAAACUUUUUAUGAGUUUUUCAUACUGUCUUAUCAUCUGAUAAGUUCUCCCUACACGGUUUUGUUAUUGGUCGAGAUGCAGGAUUCAUAACGUAUCACUGAUAGAUAUGAACAUGCGAAAAAAAUGAUGUUUAUUUUAAAUGGCACCAUCGGUCUAUUUUCUCCUUAUAUAUCAUGACGGUUUCAUCUUUAAUGUAGGUGCUUGAGACUGCCAGUACAGAGCAAGAAACUGGAGAACAUGUGGUGUACGAAAUUCAUACUGUCGCAAAACCCCCUCAAGAUUCCAUUGAUAAAGAAACAAAUGAAGAGAACUCCGCGGAACAUCAGGUUUACCUGGACACAAACAUAAAGCCUACAAAAGUGAUGUCCUUUUUUCUUCGUCUCCAAGUACAUAACCUUUGUGUUUUUCUUUUCCUUCCAAUGUUAGGCAUGUACUGAGGUGGCUGAUUUGAGUACAACUGCAGAGGAAACGAACUUAGAGGAACAUGCCAUUCAGGAACUCUCUUCUCCGCUGGUAGUAGAAGAAGCAACUCUCUUCUCCUUUGUGUUUUUCUUUUCCUUCCAGUGUAAUUUUUGCUGCUGUUUUUUGUGCAGUUUUGUGCACAAAAACCGUUUGAAACCGAAACCGAAACCGUUUGAAACCGCACCGAACCGAACCAAACGGUUUGGUUUCAUUUCGGUUUUGGCUUCAAAACCGCACCGCACCGCACCGCAAAAAGUUUCGAUUUCGGUUGUGGUUUCACUCGAAACCGCACCAAACCGCACCGCGCCCACCCCUAGUCUUUGGAGAUAGAGACAUUCUCUAACUCUUCAGCGGGUUGUGCUUGCUGGGUGAAGGAGUCAUCUCGAGGGUCAUCGGGUUGACUGUUGCCAUUAUGAAGAUCCGAGUUGGCUUCAUCUGGACUGGUCUUUACUACUUGGUUAUGUAUAGAAAGGGUCUCCUUGGGGACAGGCAGGUGUUGUUGCUUAACUGAAGUGUUGUAACAUGAUCAAGCACUAAGUUACCUCCCCUGAUGUAUCCAUUGCCGAAAGGGGUUGGAAACUUCAUCAACAACAUAUGUGUGGAUACCAUGGCCUUGAGAUCAUUGAUGCCUGUGCGGCCAAAUAUGACAUUGUAUGCCGUCGGGCAAUUGACCACUAGGAAGUUAGUGGUAAUAGUAGCUGUGUAGGGGCAUGUACCAAUGGUAAGGGGUAAGUGUAUACUCCCUAAAGGUUGCACGAUAUCGCCAGAGAAGCUUAUCAGAGGAGAAAUCGAGCGAUCGAGCAAGUGUUCAGCUACAUUAAGUGCCUUGAAAGCUUCAGCAAACAUGAUAUUGACUGAAGCACAUGUGUCUAUCAGGAUUCGUUUCACAUCAAAAUUUUCUAUGUGAGCCUCCACGAUCAGCGGGUCGUUGUGAGGGUAGAUGAUACCUCUUUCUUCCUCAGGGUAGAAACAUAUUGGAUCCCAGUUAGGCUUUUGAUACUUGCCUCUCCUGAUGUCUUCCACGUGAAACACUUGAUGGCCAGGUCUCAAAGUUCGUUCACUGUUUUUCAUGGCUCUAUUGGAAGAUUCAGACAUAGGUGUGCCGCCGCUUAUAGAAUAUAUCACAUUCACCUGGCGUUGGUUACGGUUACCCCUUGGAGGGUGAAGGAGGAACUGAUCAAUUUUUCCUUCACAUGCCAAAGCUUCAAUAUGAUCACAGAGGAUGACGCACUUCUCGCCAUCAUGGCCAUUAUACUCGUGGUAGCAGCAAAACAUGCCCGUGUUUUUCGUGGACUUGUAAUCUGGCUGUCUUGGCUUUGGCUUUGGUAUCAGAUGAGCUAUACUGGGGUAGAUGGCCGCGCAUGUAGCGUUCAAAGGUGUGUAUGUCUCAUACCUCGGGGUAGGGCAUGUCUUGACAUGUGAUUGGCCCACUGCAUUGACUGCAUGGGGACGAGCGUUAUUGUGACGAUAUCCUGAGUUAUCGCAAUAGUGCCUCUUAUUCUAUUUAUUAAAAUGAGAUUGGUGAGGAUGGAAAUCUUUCCUUUUGCCCUGGGAUUGAUACGUCUGCUGACUUGGCGAAGCAUUAAAUGAGGCAGGGGGGUGUGCUGCUACCGUUUGGAAGGUUGAGGUCUUCUCAUUCGGUUGGAUCUGGCCUCCACUCCCUACUUGCUGAUAAGGGGUGACUGUAGGGGGUUUCCCUUGAUAUGUCAUUGCCUCGGCGGAGGCAUGGUUGUAAGCUUGUGCCAUCACCUCAGAGUAAGUCUUCCAAGUGUUGGCAUUGAUCGUGUACUUAAAGAAACAGUCACGUAAGCCUGCCGUGAAGGCCUUGAGGGCGGUCUUGUCAUCUGCCUCAGCGCAACAAGAAUACUCAUGGCUGAAGCGGCCAGCAUACUUUCGUAAUGACUCAUCCGGCUUCUGGCGAAUAGUGUACAAGUCAUCUGCGGAAUGCAAGCGAUCGGUCUGGAAGAUAUGUUGAGAGACAAACAGCUUCCUCAACUCUUCAAAUGAGUCUACUGUCUCAGGUGGAAGACGGCAAUACCAGUUUAAAGCUCUGCCAGAGAGGGUAGAGGGGAAGAGAAGGCACCGUUCUUCGUCGGUGUGUCUCCAGUAUACCAUGGUGAACUCAAAUAGGUUAAGGUGUUCAAUCGUGUCUUCAUUUCCAGUAUAGAGUUGUAAGCCAAGCUUCUGCUUUGUCUUUGCUUGGAGGGGGUGUUGAGGAUCCUUCUUGUGAGGGGGCCAGGCCUAGGUUGGUUCCAAUCAGGUAUCUCGACUUGAUGUUCAGCCUUCAACUUGUUUACUUCUUCCAGGAGCUGUAGGACAAGGGGGUCCUGAGUGGAGUCGUGCACCACUGAAGUUUUCUUCCGUAAGUCCCCAUCGCCUCUUGUAAGUAGGAAAGUUUGAUCAAGAUAGCGUGAUUUUUCCUUGGACUCGCCACACUGACUCCUAGAGUGAGUAUGUCGGAAUAUUUCCGAGUCCCCUGUACCUUCAUGUUCUUCUGGGACUUGUUGCCCAUUCCCUAGAUUGGCCGCUGGCCUGGGUCGUGGAAGAGGACCGAGUCUUUCAGAAACUCUUGGGUCAUUGAUCUUCGAGCUUAUGUGGAUGAAAUUCUUUCGACGUUGCUUUAGGAAGUCUCGACAAUCGCGAUAGACGGCUUUUGAUCCUUCCACUCUCUCUGUGAAGAUGUGCUUUCCUCUACUUCUUCUGCUUCGGGUUGAAGCAGCUGGGUUGAGAGAAGUCUCAUGUUGAUUAUCACAUUGAUGUGUAGCUCGAUCCCUAUCAGGGAUGUCCGUGUUGGAUAUUGAUGACCCUCCGUGUUGGGGGGCAUUCAGAUGAUUGUUAACCUCAACAGGGGCGACGAGCUUGUGUGUUUGAGCAUGCCUAGCCUCGUGAAGCAUCUCGAAAAGUUUUUCAUAUUGUUCCUGGAUGACCUCAUUCUUCAUCGCUAUCUUGUUGUUCUGAACCUCUAACUCAUCGACUUUAGCUUGAAGAGUAACUCUAUUUCCUUCCUGCUUUCGUUGCUUCAUACUAGGUCCAAUUGGGGUGUCAUUCUGUGUGCUAUGGCUUCUUUUGCUCCCCAUGUCGGAGAGAGAUGCUUGACCAAAAGAAAGUGUACGAGCGGUGGAAACCAGCUUGACAAAGCUGAAGAGAGUGGGAAUAAGUGUCGUUUCCCACAGACGGCGCCAAAUGUUGAUGCACAAAAUCAGCGAGGACUUUGGUACAACAGAAAGUGUCAGGUUUGUGACCUUCGCUUGGUUGCUUCGAUCACUAGUGAAGAUAAGUAUGUAAAUGAAUAGGGAUAGGGAAGCAAACACAAGAUGUAUGUGGUUCACCCAGAUUGGCUACAUCCACGGAGUAGAGGAGUUCUCAUUGAUUGUGAAGGGUUUACACAAAUACAAAGGUUCAAGCUCUCAUUUUGUGAGUUCUAGUGAAUAGUUUAGUACAAAAUGACAUUAGAAAUUAUUGUGGGAGAAUGAUCCCUAUUUAUAGAAGAGAGUUUCUAGUUUUGUUCUAACAUUGACACGUAUCGUGUUGUGAUUGGCUUCUGAUGUUGACACGUGUCGCGCUGUGAUUGGCUUCUGAUGUCGACACGUGUCGCAUUGUGAUUGGCCUCCUGGUUGAAGGGAAGCUCUUCUGGGUCCUUAACGGUAUAACGUUGACCGGUGCUCAGUAGUUUCGGGAUUGGUCAAGUAUGGUACAAACAAAGCACAUUAUUGCUAGCCGAUUAUAAGGCUAAACUCAGUCCAUAUCCCUUAAUAUAGAUAAUAUCGGUUAUUUAAAAAAAAAAUAUUUUAAAAUUUAACUAGUAUAUACGAUGCGGGACUAUAUUUUAUUUCUUUUUAUAUUUUAGGGCUAAAUAUAAUCUAUUGAGGCUACAUGUUGCAUGACGUGGGCCAAACUUAAUUGACCAUUUUAGCCAGAUUUCCUUUUAGCUUUUGGUUGGAGAUUAAUUUUGUCAAUUUUAGAGUCUAAGUGUGGCCUGUAUCCCUUGGCCGAAGAAAAGCAAGAUGAAGACUUAACGCGCUAUUUGCAAAAAUGCUCUUUUAAGAUAUAUAUAUAUAUAUAUAUUUAUUUUUUUUAAAUCGAUAUUAUCUACACUAAAGAAUAGUGGGGUGAAUUUAGCCUCACUUUGGACUAGCAAUAAUAUUGUUCAAAUUCGCUUUAGUGAUAAUUGAAUUUAAAACAUCUCACUUAAAAAUGAAAAGAAAUAUUAUUAGACCGUAAUAUUAAGUGGUGCUCUUUAAGAUAUUAGAAUUAGAAUGACCUAAACAAACGUAUGUUUGGGGCCAUAUCAUCCAUUACAUAUCAUUCAUUCAUUAAUUAAAAGUGUUUAAUUUCACUUUUGCUUAAUUUUCUUCACGUUUUAUUCAUCAUUGUCUCAUCAGUUCCAGCAUUUGGUUUCAUCAUUUUUCCUUGAUCUUGACUUCUAAAAUCUUUAGGUUAUGCCUUGUCGUAUGAGCAUGUUCGUUGCCAUCGUACUUGUCGUCAUCAUCACCUUAUUUUUAUUUAUCAUCGUCUCUUCAUAUUUAUGUGAAUUGGAUAACAGCGAACCCUAAGUUUCUUCCUCCAAUCUUCGAUGCAAAGGUGUCUUUGGUUUCAUCAUUUUCCCUUGCUUUUAGACUUUAAGAUCUCAAGUUGUUUCUGCGAUCUCUUUUUUCUUUUGGUUCAAAGAAGAUGGUGAAUCACAAUUAUCCACUAUUUUCAAACUCAAAGAGCCUAGUUAGGAAUUUCACCAUAUCUAAGACCAUGAUAAGCAGAUUCACAGUUUAUAAAAUACCGAACUCAUGACCUCUAAAUGCUUUUAAGUUUAUUUGAAUAGGAUUUUUUUUUUAAAUUUUGUUUCAACAAUUAAAUCCCAUUAUUUAAAAAAAAAAUCAGUUGCUCUUUCUAGGACCAGAAAGACUCAUAAAAGCAUUUUCAAUCUCUCUUGAUCACCACAUCUUGUGAUUCACAAUGCGACGAGUCGAACCUAGGACGUGUUCUACGAAAUACUGACCUAAAAUUCGUCCCUAACUAUUAGCCAACCCGUGGUGGCUACAGUGAAAUCCCAUUUUGAAUAAAUAUUUUUUGUCUCUAUAAAUGCAUAUUCAAACAUAUAUUUGAUGUUGGCACACAAGAAGUUACACCAGCUAAUUUGAGCAACAAUAACUAGAUUGCUUAGUAGCCGUAACUUCAUGAUCAUCACCACCAAUAUGGAUGGUUUCCUUCGCACCACCGAGACUUUUACUCGCAACACUCGUUUCUUCCACUUUUGCUUCCAAACUUCUCUGCCUCGUAAUGUCAUGAAUCUUAGAAAUCAUAACCAAAAAUACUUGCUCCACGUUCACAUUCUCUAACGCAGACGUUUCCAUGAAGCACAACCCUUCUGCCUCUGCAAAACUUUUGCCUUCUUCCUCGUCGACCUCUCGAGACUGGCUCAAAUCCGACUUGUUUCCGACGAGGACAAUGACCAUGUCCAAAUUACCAAACUCGCGAAGCUCUCGCAACCAGUUUCUCACGUUUUCGAAGGAUUGUCUCCGGGAAAUGUCGUACACCAGAAUGGCGCCAAGCGCCCCACGGUAGUAUGAGCUCGUGAUUGCUCUAAAUCUGCAUUAAUAAACCAAAGUAUAAUUAACCACCACUACUCAUACGCAUAAGCAUAAAUAUAUUUUUCUAAAUUAGUACUUCCAACAAAAACAUUAACCAUCGCAAAAAUGUCUCUGUGUAGGAAAUAAUUCUGUUUAUAAGUGCUUUUAUAAAGAGGUCGCACUUGGUGCGAUGGCAAGUGCCUUCGCCCAUGAGCGGUAGGUCUCGGGUUCGAGACUUGGGAGCAGCCUGUCCAUAAAUGGGGGUAAGGCUAGCCGACAUUCACCUCUCCCAGACCCUGCGUAAAGCGGGAGCCUUGUGCACUGGGUACGACCUUUAUAAGUGCUUUUAUAAGAAGUGAUUUCAUUACAGACACGUCCAAAUGCUUCUUAAAAUGCAUCAUGAAGAAGCACCUAAUAGAUGCUUGUCCAAAAAAUACUCUUGUAGUCCAUAAACACUUACAAGUUUUUCAAUGUAGUCAAAUUGGCAUAUUUCUUUUACGAGCAAUAUUAGUGGAAGGCAAAUCGAAUCAAGGAUUUCAUGUGUAAAAGAUUAAUAUUCUUAAUCACUUGAACUACAAAUCCGUUACUACAAAAAAUAUUUUUAACCCUUAAAAAACAGUCUCAAAACAAAUCUUGAAUUCCACUAAUUCACGGAGUGUGGAUCACACUCAUGAUGUCUUGUAUAAUCACUUUACUUUUUUCCUUUUCUGAACAAUAAUCACAUUACAUAUUAAAUAGUUGUUGUGCGAUGAUAGGAACUUUUCUCUACCACCUCAAGAAUCCAAGAUUAAGAAAGUUAACUGAAGAAGGUGAAAAGCAGAAAACUAGGGCAAAAAUCACUUCACCUUAAUUAGCGGCCACCUAAUGGUUAGUCACUUACGCUCACCAGUAGCAACAACGAUAAAGACAAAAGAAAUUCAGAAAAGCAAAUAAAAAGAACUCCAAACUUUGAGCUCUAUCCUAGUGCUACUUAAAAAAAAAAAAAAAACUAAUGAAAAAAAUUUAAAAACUUUGAGUUUUAAUGAUAAGGACAAAAUAAAAGGUAAAAUAAAUAGUAGCAAGUUUGACUUUUUAGUGUAAAAAUAUGAUUUUUCGUUAAAGUAAACAGUACCGUGGGCUUUUCGUUAGAACUUCCUUAAAAAAAAAUGCAAAAGUGAAAUACCGAGGAGAUUCUCUUAAAAGUAUAAUUUUUUAUAAUUAUUUUUUGGUUUUUUGCAUAUAUUUGAUAAUGUUGAUACAAAAGUUAAUGUUAAACUAGUAGGUGACAAAGAGUCUAUGAUGACUCUCACAAAGUCGGAUUCUUCAUAAGAGAAACGCCAAGAAAGCUCUCUCAAAGUGAGAUUGUCCAUAACCUUAUGUUUUUUACACAAUGUUUUAUAAUGGCACAUAAAUUAUGUAAAAAACAUGAGGUGGUGACAAGUCCAUAGAGAGUCUCACUUUUGAAAAAAUCUACUUAAUAUUUCUUCGUAGACUUUCUCCUUUAACGUCAAUUUCCGCGAACAUUAUAAAACAUUUUAUCAAAACCAUGAGACGGUAUAAAAGUCUAUUUGGAGAGUUUCUUUUUAACAUUUAUCAAUAUAAAUUUUAGGUUAAAGGGCCCCACCAGCGUGGAUUAUUAAACUAGGGGUAUAAUUACAACUUUUGACGUUAAUGGGACCAAAUCAUGAAGGGAAAGGCAGGGUUGAACAGUUGUGUUCAUAUCCAUAAUUUAGUUGCUUCAAAAGAUCGGCAAACGUAAAAGCAUCCUUAAACCAAAAGGAAAAAAAAUAAGAGAAAAGCUAGGGCAAUUUUGGGAAAACUGAUCGCAUUGAAAAAUAACAUUCAACUUGCAUAAAUAUUCUACGUAAUCAGCGCAAAGGAUGUCGUUUGAUCUAUAACACAAGAAAAAUAAAGCAUGGUAGUGGACAAAGGGGAAAAUGACUAACGUAUGCAUUCAGAAUGACACAUACGUUCCAAACCAAUAAUACAACACGGGCUUGUUUUGCAGUAUUUUCAAAAUGGCUGAAGAAAAUUCUUAAUUAAAAUGCAAGUAAAUUAUGGAAAAAAAACACUUGAAGUGUUUUUGUAACUCAAAAUAUAUUCUCUAUAAAAGUUCUUUCAAUUAUCUUAGAAGUACUUUCAAACGAACCGUAGGAUCGCCCAGUAAGAGGAGGUGGGUUUUCUAGUUAUCCAGUUAUAAGUAUAUGCAUGUUCUUCAAAUAUAUUCCAAAGACUAUGAUCAAGUGAAACAAAAUCAAAUUUAAGAAGAUGAAGUGAGGGAGGGAGGCGUACCUUUCUUGGCCGGCAGUGUCCCAAAUUUGAGCCUUGACGAUCCUAUCGGCAACCUUGAUAUUCCGGUAAGCGAACUCGACGCCGAUGGUGGGCUUGGAAUCCAACCGGAAUUCGUCUUUGGAAAACCUGGAUAGCAAAUUCGAUUUGCCAACUCCGGAGUCUCCGAUCAAAACUGCCUUAAACAAGUAAUCACACUCUUCAUCAAUCGAAUCACCCAUCAACAUGUAUGGUAAUUACUUGAUGAUCCAAUUAAUUACAACUCUUAAAACACUAAUUAAUCAUAAACAUAAAGACAAGCUAAGAAAACUUGAAGCAAUUUGGGAAGAGGCAGAGCAAAUGAAAGGUGGAGGAAGAGACCAAUAUGUUGGACAUAUAUAUAUAUAUAAUGUGUGUGAACAAGUCCAAAUCAGUAGAGCAUGAGGAAAUGAAUUGAAAUUGUUCAUUUGCUUUUGGAGGGUAGUGAGUCCUUUACAUGUGAUAACAUUGAAAAAGACAUGAUGACUGCUCCCUUUAGCACAAAUUAAGCAAACUUUAUUUAAGACCUACACUGAGGUGGAGGUCAGCCUCACAAUGAAUUAGCCAUAAAAAUUUAUUUCGUAUUCGCAUUUGGUAAGGUGAGAAUCGAACCUAAAACGUCUCACUUAUAAACUAAUCAAACGUAAUCUCGAAUUCACCUCAAUUCUUUUCUUUUGCACAAAUGAAUUUAGUCCUCACGACAACUUAUAAUUGAUAAUGUUAGCGAGAUACAAAAAUCUCAUUUACAUUGAAAUAAGUGUUUGACUAGUAUAAAAAUUUUGUGUUUUUAGUGAAGAGUAGUUUGUUGUCACUCCCGAUUUAUUGAAAGUGCCUUGUAAAUUUAAAAUUUGGACAGUAAAUAGAAUAAACCGAACUCAUCCAGCGAUAAACAAAGGACGGUGAGCAUGACCACUGUUUAAAGUGGUGAGCUAAUAUAACUCCAAAUUUGAAUGCUGAGAGCAUCAUGUGACAGUCUUUUUGUGUGACAUGACACGUGAUUAGAUUUGGAUAUAAUUGGUACUGGACUUCAUAUUUCCCGUGAAACAACAGUGUCCAGCCACAUUGACCAGGCCUGUCCUUACCGCAGAAACAGAUUGGGCCUUAUGAUGAAGCCCAUUCAGUUUUUGGGCUUCAAAACUUAUCUGAAUUGUUUACUUUUCUCAUCCGCAACUACCCAAAACAAAUUAUUCGGACGUACGAACCAACAUAUUUUUUUUUUUCAAAACCUCACCUACAUGUAAUCCUAACACAUCUCUAAUUAAAAAAAACUUCCCACACUUUAUAUGUGUGCUCAUAUGCUAAUUAUAUUAGAGAGUAUCAACGAGUGCGUCAGCUACUAAAUAAUCGGUUAACAGAUGAGUGAGGUUUGCGUUUGAAAUAGCAUCAGCGGUUACUUAUUUAAUUAAAUCAAAGGAAAACUAACCAAAAGGGCUUGAAAAGUUUAACUUUUAACCAAAAACCACAUUGAAAGUUUAUUUAAUGGUUAGUACAAAGCCCAUUAUUAUAUCAGCCCAAAUACAAUAGUCCAGACUAAAUAAUAUUGUGGUUUGUCAAUUUUACCCCUAACGGAUGUGGUUAACCUAAUUUACCUAUUCUGUUAGAUUACUCGGUUUGGGGUUAACCUAAUUUACCUAUUCUGUUAGAUUACUCAGUGGGAUUUUCAAUUUUUUAUGAAUCUGGUUGAGUGGUUUGAGUAAUGCUUGCCGACGAAUGUUGAGAGCGCAUUUUGAAAUCGUGAUCGCCGUUGUUCUAUUUUUCCGGAAUAAACAUUUGUUUCAGAACAAAUUCGCAGUAGUUUCAUAUUUUGAGAUUCUACUGAAUCGUUGUCAUCGGUGUUGUUCGUUGUGCUUGAAUAUUUUAACUGGAGUGAUCGUCUUUCAUAUUUGGUUAGAUUUUCGUUUGGAGGUAAUCGACAUUGUUUUUGCAGUUUUGUAUUCGAUUUUGAAUUCGAUUUUUUGUUUAAUUCGAAUUCGAUUUUGAAUUCGUUUUUGUAUGUAAUAUGCUUCGCUUUUAUUUGACUUUAUAUAUUGUUGUUGAUUUGUUUUCAGAUUAGCAGAUUGAUUCGGUUUGUGAACUUUUCAGUUAGGAGUUUCGAAGAAUCUCAGGUAAGUUUUGAUUUGUUUUUUUUUUUUUUUUUUUUUUGAAUUGGAAUUCGAUUUUGAAUUCUUUUUUGCAUGAAUUAUGCUUAGCUUUUUAUUUGACUUAUAUAUUGUUGUUGAUUUGUUUUCAGAUUAGUAGAUUGAUUCCGGUUUGUGAAAUUUUCAGUUAGGAGUUUCUUAUUUUGAAGAAUCUCAGGUAAGUUUUGAUUUUUUUUUUUUUUUUUGUUUUGUUUUGUUUAUAUUGUAUGUUGGUCAUCUUGAUUUUGUUUUCUUUUUCAGAAAUUUAUUAUGAAUUAAUUCGUGUUAUACACAUUUGAUGUUGUUAACAUUUUUUCAGAAAUAGUGUUCUUUUUUUAAUGAAACAGUGUAUAUUCAGUUUAUUUUCUGUUUUUUGUGAUUCUUGUGUUUAUAAACUAGUGUAAUUUUGUUCACUUUAUAUGUAUAUUGUUUAACUAAUAGGUGUUCAUCACAUUUUAUGUUUUUUAACAUUUUUCAGAAAUAGUGUUCUUUUUUUUACGAAACAGUGGAUAUUUCAGUUUACUUUUUUUUUUUUGUUUUGUUUUUGUUUUUUUUUUUUUUUUUUGUGAUUGUUGUGUUUUAUAAAUAGUGUUAUUUUUGUUCGUUUUAUAUGCAUAUUGUUUAAUUAUUAGGUACUGAUUUGUUUUACAAAGAUUUGAAUUUAGAUUUGCAACCGAUUAAUAAACAGUUGUUGUUUAUUAAUAAACAGUUAUGGAGAAUGGUAAACUAGCUCGGUUUACAUAUGGUGGUUUAUGCGUCGUUAGUUCUAUUUCAUCAUCUUCUACCUUCAAUCAGAUUUGCAUUGAUCUUUGUUCUAGGUUUAAGGGUUUGAGAGUUGGUUGUUUUGAGUUGCGAUAUGGUUUGAAUGAAAAUCCUAAUUGCGUGUUAGAUUGUGAUGCCGAUGUUCUAAACAUGUUGAUGGUUCUUGAUGUUGUUGGGAAAUCGAUUGUAGAAAUAUUGGUUAUAGACAAAUGUGAUGGUUCCAUAGUUCAGUUACCUUCGGAAAGCACAUCUUCUUCUUGCCGUACAUUAGACUCUAUGAUUGUUUCUAGUGAAAAUGAUCAUUUAGGAAAAUAUGGUUCUUACGGUGUGCACAAUUAUAUGUCAUGUGAAUGGGACAAUUACAUAGAAUCUGAGGGGCAAGUCUUUAGGGGAGGUUGUAAUGAUUUCCGAGAUAAGUUGAAGAAGUUUUCUGUUGAAUGUGGUUUUGAUUUGAAGUAUUUGAAGAAUGAUAAGAAUCGCAUUAGUGCGGAGUGUUCUAGGAAGGAAUCUGAUGGCUGUCUUUGGCAUGUGUAUGCAUCCAAGUGUGAUAUUAAUAACUUUUUUGUUAUUCGGAAGUUGCAUAAUCUGCAUACAUGCAAGGGUAUGAUUCGAAAGAAGAAAAACAAAGUUGUUGGCCGACAGUUUGUUGCUCUCUUAUCAAGGAUAAGGUUCAAUCAAAUCCUCUUAUUAAACCGAAGGAGAUCAUUUCAAAUUUAAAACAGUUUUAUGGAUUAGAUAUCGAUUAUUCUACUGCCUAUUUUGGCAAACAGAUGGCAGUUUUUGAGUUAAAUGGUGAUGAUGUUGAUGCUUACAAGUUCUUGCCUUGGUAUGUUGAAUCUGUUCGUUCAAGCAAUCCUAGAUCUGUUUUUGAGCUUGAAGUUGUACCGGAGAGCAAUAGAUUUCUUCGUUUGUUUAUUGCUUAUGAUGCAUGGAUAAAAGGUUUCAUGUUUUGUCGCCCGAUGUUAUUCAUUGAUGGUACUUUUAUCAAGAGCAAAUACAAGGGAACACUUCUGUCUUGCUGUGCAAAAAAUGGUAACGAUUGUGAGUUAAUAAUUUUAGACUUUUAUAUUGGAUAUUAUUUGUUUAUGUUUUCUUACUGUGCAAAAGAAACAUAUCCAGAACUAGUUGAAGAACAGUUUAAGAAAUAGUUCAAUCAGUCUCAUAAAUAGGUGAUACUCUGACUGUAUCUGUUUUUUUUUUUUUUUUUUUUUUUUGGUGCAUUGGUCUUUGAUUUUAUGUUCAAAUAAAGAAAAAAGGUUGCAGAAGUAGUUCAAACAAAGUAUACUAAAUAGUUCAAUUACAGUUUCAGAAGUAGUUGACAUUUGACAGUGCAUUUUCACUUUUGCUGUGCAGAGAUUUUUGAGGUUGCUUAUGCUAUUGUUGAUUCAGAAACGAUAGCAAAUUGGAGAUGGUUCUUGGCAAUAUUAUCUGGUAUAUUGAGGCCUCAAGGGAGGGUGAUCACAUUGAUGUCGGAUAGACAUGAUGGUAUUUUGAAGAGCAUUCGAGAAUUCUUUCCCGAGUGUCCACAUUCAUUUUGUAUUGUUCAUUUGAAACAGAAUGUGAGUACUUUAUUUCCAAAGGCUGCUGGUGAAGGACUAAAGAAGAAAAUGAUGAAUCUGUUGACAAAUUGUGCGUACGCAUGUACCCCAUCUGAUUUUGAUGAUUGCAUGGCUGAAUUCAAGGAUAAUGGGCAAGGGCAUGUGAAGAAUUUUUUGUGUGAUUUGCCAAAAGAGAACUAUGCUAUUGCCCAUUUUCCUGGUAAGAGAUGGGGAUCGAUGAGCAAUGCACUUUCAGAAUCUUUUAACGCCAUGGUGUCGAAUAGUCGUUGUAUGCCACUUAUGGAUCUUCUUGAAGACAUUAGAGUUCGGUUGAUGGGUAGUAUGGCUGAGAAAAGAAUAGUUGGUCAGAAUAUUCAUACGAUUUUGUGUCCAAAGAAAGAAAAUGAGAUGAAGUUGAUGUUGAAGGAGGGCAUGCAUUGGAGGAUUAGUCGUUCUGAUGCAGAUGUUUUUGAAGUUAGAACAGAGUGGAAUCGGUUUGUUGUUUGUCUGGAUGAUAGGACAUGUUCUUGUGUGCAAUGGCAGCAUAAUUGUUUCCCAUGUUCUCAUGCUUUGCAGGUGUUGCAACAUGAUAAUCGUGAUGUUUUUUAUUACGUUGAUGAUUACUGGAAAUCAAGCUUUUAUCGGAAAACAUAUCAAUUUGUCAUGCAUCCAUUUUCAGAUUUGGAAAAGCCGAAUGUUGAUACUAUCAUAAAUGGUGUGAGGCCUCCAAUUACAAAGAUUCCGUCUGGAAGACCAAAGAAAACUAGGAUCAAAUCUGCUGGGGAAAUCAGUGGGAGUAAGAAGACUGUCACUUGUAGUAGGUGUGGUUGUUCGGGACAUAACAAGGUUUCAUGUAAAGUUGUUAUACAAGAGGGGUGAUUUUUUUUCUUUUUUGUUUUGAGAGAUGGGAGUUUUUGGUAAUAUGUACCAGAUUUUCAUUUUGGAUAUUUUUUUUUAUUUUUUUUCAAUUGGUGUUUGGGAGUAUGUAAUUGUUGAUUUGGAAUUAUGUUCGAGUAAUAAAUAUGAAUUCAAUGUUUAGUAUUUCCAGUUUUACGAAACAGUAUGUUGAGUUUGAUAAAUAGUUGAGUUUGAUAAACAGUGAAUACAUAUCUAUGUUUAUGGCUUUGUGGUUUCAAUAUCUGUUUUGUAGGUUGUAUGUAAGUUUGUGUGUUGCAUUUUGUAGGAGGCAAGUAUGUUGGUUUUCAUUCUUGAUCUAGUUAAUAUUCCAUUUUAGGUAAGAGAAAAUGAAAAAAAAACCACACUACUUAUGAAAGUGAAGUAGAAAACCACACUUUGUUACCAAAGCAAACUGAACUAUAUAUCAAAAUGAAUUAUUUAUGAUAGUGAACUAGAAAACCACUUUUUUAUCAAAGCAAACUGAACUAUUUAUCAAACUGAACUAGAAACCCACACUUUUUAACUAAGCAAACUGAAAUAUUUAUCAAAAUAGAUUAAAAUUUAGAUUAAGUCAUGAAACAUAUAUAUAUAUAUAUAGAGAGAGAGAGAGAGUUGUGUCAAAUAUGUUUGACAAUGACAUUUGUAAAUCAUAGCAAAAGUAAGCUUGAACAUGUAAGUAUUGCUUCAGUUUAGACCAAUACUUUCCACCAUCUCUCAGAUUUUCAUCUUGAACCUUAAAAAGUACAUCCGAAUCAAAAUUACAUAUAAUGCGUAUUUUGUAUUUUUUAUUCUAAUGUCCAAUGCUUGUGAGUUGUUGUGAGAUUUCGAUAUAUGCUUCUUGUUCCCUUGUCCAGCUGAAAUCAUGGUUCAUCAAAUCCACGAGGAUAUGUUUCCUUGCUUUCAUUACUUGAUGAUCUUUGAUACAUCCUUGAACCUUCCGGUUAGUUGAUAGUUGGUCAAUGAAGCUCAUCAUGUAUAAACCACAAUCUAAUCUGAUUUACAAAGAAAUUCAUGGAAUGAUUAUGAGUAUUAUAAUGAAAUGAAAUGUGUGGUACAAACUAUUUCUAUAACUGUAUCAAAUUAUUCAUAUUGUUUCUGAAACUGCAGUAAGCACAAACUAUACAUAUAUAUAACUAAAAUGCUUUUAAUUUUAUAACGUACGAUGUUGGUUUCUGUUGUGCACAGGUUCUGUCUUCUUUGAUUUGGAAUUCAAAGUCACUUUUGAUGGAAUUAAUUUUCUUCGUUGUGGCUUGAGUUGAAUCCAUAUCAUUUGAAUUGCUUGUUGAUUUUCUUGCUUUAUCCAGCCAAUAUUGAACAAAGUGGCCCUGCAAAAAUUUAUAAUGUAAUAAUAAGAUGAUUGUUUUCUAUAAAUAUGACAGAGUUUUUGGUUGUGGGUUUUGCUUACCACAAUUUCUGCAUUUUCCCAGUAGCAAUCAAAGUCCAGAUCUUCAUCUGUUGUGCUUUGUCGAAGAGAAUUGUAGUGAAUCAUUUCUGCAUUUUUUGUGUCCAAAACUACCAAGGAGAAAUGGUUGUAAUGAAACAAUGGGAAGAAAAUCUUUGAUACUAUUCCAUAUUGGUCCAUCAAUUGGUUGUAGAGCCUUUCCUUAUUUUGCAGAGUUGUUUCAAUGCUUUGUUCAUUGAUGUUGUGCUGUUGAAAAUGAAAAUUAUCAAACAUCAUAAUUACAGAUUAAUUGUUCUAAUUUUUAUAUGUAUAUGUAAAUAAUUUUUUGCAGAAUAUUAGUUGUUUUGUUUGCUCACAAAGAUUGUUGUGGAGACAUAGAAGUUCUUUUGUUUCGUGAUGUUCUCUUUUUCUCUUUUCAUGUAGCAGAAAGAAUCAACAAUCUGAGUUGAUGUAGGUCCAUUUGCCAUCAAACUGUGCAGGUCUUCUUUCAACACCAUUAUUUUGUAAUAGUUGAAAUCUGUAGUUUCAGCCGUCCAAUAUUCAUCGCUGCAGGACAGUGUAAAAGUAUUAGUUAUACAAUAAUUCAUCAGUGCUUAUAAAGUUAUGGGAGUGUGUAAAAACUUCAGUUAAGAGUUUUGUUUUGUAUUACUUACCUGCUGUCUAUUGACCAGAAUUGAGUUAUUCUUCUUCUAUCAUCUGGUUUCAGCAUCUUGUACACUUGAAGUUGUGUCCAAUUCACACUGCUGUCUAUGUGAUUUGUUGCUGGAAGGUCAUCCGGUUGUGAAGAAGGCUCAUCUUUUAAAUCCAGGUUGAAUGAUGGAAUUUCACCCAAGAGUUUCUUUCUGUUUUUUGUCAUUGGCUUUGCUGCUUUUUGGCUGAAUGUUUGCUUUUUGACUUGUAGAUCAUUCUUGUUGAGAGUAUUGUUGUUUUUUAGAGCUUCAAUAUCUGUUUCUUCAAUUUGUUGCUUGUUUGAUUCUGAAACUGGUUUGGCAUUUUCCUUUUUCUUUUUCUUUGGAACUGGUUUGUCAUUUUCCUUUUUCUUUCUCUUGAUUGCUGUUGGUGGUUGGAGUGUUUGGCAUCUUUUCUUCUGCAUCCUUGAUUCACAAUUGUUCUGUUCUUUAGGUUGUGUCUCCCUCUUCCUCUGCCUUUGUAGUGGUUGUUUUUUUUGCACCUUUUUCUUUGCAAUUUGCAUUGGUUCUCCAACUUCUUCUUCAGUAGUGGUGUCAAUCUGUAGAUGAAUUGUCUCCUUCUUCGUACGUGAUCUGUUUGCUAUUUUUCCAAGCAUUUUCCUUUGUUCUGUCCUCUUUGUUGUUUUGGAUAUCAUUUUGACAUUGGCUUUGGUUGAGUUUGACAUUUGUACAGUUAUUCUAACUGAAACCAUCUGUCAAUAUAAUUUUUAUUAGAUUGCAACUUGAUCGUAAACAAAUAAAAAUCAGUAUGAGUACACAAUUAUAUUUGAAACAUACCAAGGUGAAUUACUAUUUAUGGAAUUGGAAAACAUUUUUAUAACUGCAUAAAUCUUUAUAAGAUUCAUAUAACUAAAUAAAUUAGAAAUAAAAAUAUACAAUAAGAGGUGUAUUAUGUGUAAGAUCUGGAAAAAUUGCAAUUCUAUUUAUAAAUGAAGCAAUUGUAAACUGUUUCGUAAACACUGUUUAUUAAACUUUAAAAAACACAAACUAUUUACUUGUUCGUGAAUGUAUCCCAGAUUUUACUAUUUCCGUACAUUUCAAUUCUAUUUACAAAUGAAGCAAAUUGUAAACUAUUUCGUAAACAGUGUUUAUUAAACUUAAAAAUCGUGAACUAUCUUACUCAAAUAUAAAAAUUACAAACAGAGAAUCAUACUAGUUCGUGUAAUAGCAUAAUGUAUGUUUAUAUAUUGAACGAUUAGCUAGUAAAUAGUAUUUUAUUGGGUGGAUCUGUGAUGGAUUCGUACUGAUAGUAAAUAACAAAAUAAAUUUAAGCAAAUAGUAUAAUCUGGGUUUUGUUUAAGUUGACGCAUGUUAUUCUAUAUGCUUAAUUCCAGUAGAUGUUUGUUAUAUAAACAAUGAACCGUAUGAUUUUGUGAAAUAUGUUGAGAAAAAUUGUAAGAUUGUUACCUUUUGUUUAUUUUCUGGGUAUUUCUGCGACCAAGUUGCUCAGCGAAGUUGAAAUUUGCGUGAAUUCGUCCGUAAAAGAACUUGAAUGAUGUACGAAAUCGGGAAAUGAGGAUUGAUGAUUUGAGCUGGGGGCUGGGGGCUGGGUUUCUGGUUUUCUUUUUUUAUAGUGCAUGCAGUUUCUUCAUCGUGGCUUAUCUGUGCGUGAAAAUGAGAGUGGUGUUAGGGAGAGAAAGUGAAGUUAGCGCAUGAGUGAAAUGAUGAUUUUUGCUGGGCGUUAAUUAUGCGUGAAGGAUGGGGUGCUGAUUUGGAACUGAAAAAAAAAAAAAGUUGUUAUUUUUCAUUUUUUAGAUAUAGUGUGUACAUAUAUUUCAGAAACAGUUUAAGUUAUCUAGUUUUUUGUUUUGCAUAAAUUUAUCUAAUUUGGUAACUAUAUUUUUUGGAUAAUAAAAGGGAACUUUAACAAAAAAGGAAGUGUCAAAAUGUAAGCAUGUGAAAUUUUUUAAUAUAGUUCUCAUUCUUAUAAGUUAUAACUCAAAGAAUCAGGUAUGUGAAGUUGAUUGGCUUCAUAGUAAACUUCUUUUUCAUUUUUAUAUGGUUUCUUUAGAUGAGUAAUGGUAUUAGGCCCCCUAGGGCAAAAAAAAUUAUAAAACGUACGCAAGUAUGGGAUGGGCACCAUCAUACAAGCCCACCUGAGCUCGGGGUUUUGUAUGUAGAUGUACAUUGAUAUAAAAUGUAAUUUGUAAAACUCAAGCUAAUGUAAUAAAAUCCUCAUCAGGAAUGUCAUCAUAUUGACCAUGUUUAUUUUGUUGUCUUCUGUCUUCAAGUAUCUUCUUCAGUCCAUUUGCAUAACUAUUCUUGUGAUUCACAAGUGCAGUUGCAAUUUGAGUUCUUUUGGCAAAUACUUCUUCCUUCUCAAAGGUGUUGGCUUCUAUUGGGUUUGCCCUCUUGCACUUGGGUUGCAAAUUGAAUGACAAAUAUGCCACAAUCCAAUCUGCAUUUUUUUUUUUGGAUAAACAAAUAAGUAUGACAGAUAAUGAGAUCAUAUUAUAACAUUCGAUGACAUAUUAAAAGUGAAAAAAUGAAACUAUUUCUUGUUCGUAACACUGUUAUGCAAACUGGAACUAUAUCUGAAAACUAUAUUAUGACACUAUUUUGCAAAGUCUAAAUUUAUAGUAUAUUUUCUAGAAUGAUUUUGUUUUCUGUUUUCUGUGUCUCAUUUCCAUAUAUUUGUAGUUAGAUGACAUAUUAUUACUGAAAAAAUGAACUAUUUGUUGAUUUGUAAUACUGUUUCGUAAAGUGUAAAGAGUGAAAAAUCAACUAUUUCUGAAACUUCUUAUGACAUUAUUUUGCAAACUGCAAACUAUUUUUUCAAGUAUAAGUCUUGUGUUUGUAUAUAUGAUUUUCAUGGUCCUUCUUAUGUGUUUGAAUGUAUAAAUUUGAUUGAAAAAUAUAGAGAUCAACUUGUUGUUUGUACUUACGAGUCCUCCUUUUGUUGGGCGCAAGUUAAGCAUCUUUCAAUAUCUAUUGUGAGAUUGCUGUCUCCUUUGAAAUCUUUGUAAAAUGCUUCUAUUUUGUCUCUCUGCCAAAAACAAAAAAAACAAAAAAAACAACAAAAAAAAAAUUGUAUUAUGAAGUUUGAUUUUUCCUAUCAGAAUAAGAAUAUAGUUUGUAAUUGAAUUAUAGUUUUGUUCUUACCACUUGAACAACAUGAUCAAAGUAUAGGUCUGUAUUCCCAUGUACCCUUGGUAGUUUGGAAUUGUAGUGUGUCAUUUUUCCAUUUUUAAUGUCCCAAACUACCAAGCUGAAGUGAAAGUAAUGCUUGACCAAUAUGAAGACCUUUCCUACUUUAUCCACAUUAUCUUGUAAGACUGUCUUCAAUGUUUUGUCAAUGUGCUCCUGAUCAGUCUUGUUUUUCUCAAUCUCCAUAUCAUUCUGAACCAAGAAUACACAUGUAUUUAUUAAUCUUAAUUAAUGAGCAACACUAAUUCUUAAACUGAACCGAAAAAUACACAUUUUUUUUUCAAUCUCCAUAUCAUUCUGAACCAAGAAUACACAUUUAAAGUUUUAAAGUGAAUGCAAGGCCUUUUGUAGGAGGCAAGUAUACAAAGCAAACUGAACUAAUAUGAAAGUGAACUAUUUAGCAAAGUGAACUAGAAAACCACACUUUGUUACCAAAGCAAACUGAACUACAUAUGAAAGUGAACUAUUUAGCAAAGUGAACUAGAAAACCACACUUUGUUACCAAAGCAAACUGAACUACAUAUGAAAGUGAACUAUUUAGCAAAGUGAACUAGAAAACCACACUUUGUUACCAAAGCAAACUGAACUACAUAUUAAAGUGAACUAUUAGCAAAGUGAACUAGAAAACCACACUUUUUUGUAAACAAAACUGUUUGGCACUUACAAAUAUGAAUGAAGGAAGAUACAGAUUUUUUUGUUGCCUCAUUUUUGAUUCGUUUUCUGCCAUUGUGUAGAACGAAGCAUCAAUUAUGUUGGCGUCGAUUGCUCCAUCCACAAACAAUGAUGUCAGAUCUGAUUUUAGGACAACAAGGUCAGUCGCCAUGGACCCUUGUCUUGGCUGCAUCCAGAAGUAGUCCCUGUAUCAGAAAAUAAAACGUAUUAUAUAUCUAUGUAUAUGUGUGUGUGUGUGUACACAUGUAUUAAGUUAUGAUUAAUAAUGUAAACUUACAUUUUCUCUUGUCUGUAAUAUUUCUUGAAUUUUUCUUUUGUCUCAUCUUCAAGUAACUUGUACGCCCUUGUUGAUGCAGGUAGAUGAUACCGUUUGUCAAGCUUUUGCUUUACAGGUUUCUUUGCAGCCUUCUUUGCAGGUUUGUUUGCUAUUUCUUUAGCAAUUGGAUUCAAGGGUGAUUCAACCUUGGGCUCCUCCUUUCCUUUCUCAAUUAUUGGUUCCAAUAGUUGGCUUUCUGACUGAAAAAUUGAAGGGCUUUCACUGUCACUCACAGCAUAUAUAUAUUUUGCCUUCUUUUGUUUUCUCUGGAUGGGGAUAUAAUCAUAAUGUGGAUCGACAUUUGGUUUACGAUCAUCCCUCAUUCGAAUAUUUUUUACUAAUGUUCUCGUCUUCUUUUUGGCAGUCUCUUUUCCUUGUUUUUCAGCAUCCUUGAUAGUUGGAGUCUGCAUUUGAACAUCUUGUUGAACUCCGGAGGUUCCUUUUUCAGUGGCAGUGUCUUUUCCUUCAUGUUCUUGAUCCUCCUCAGCUUGAUCCUCCUCAUUUUCAUCUGGAUCAUGAUCAAUUGCAUGCCUUUGUUUUGGAUCCUCCAUAGCCACAUCAUUUUCAGUUGCAUUCUCUUGAACUGGAUCCUCAGUAGCAAUAUCCUUAUCAUGUGUAUGCUCUUCAACUUGAUCAUCAUUAUCUGGAUGUUCUUUAGGUGGUUAAUCCUCCUCUGGAUCUUCCUUGGUUGAAGCAUUUAUAUCUGGUACUAUUGCUUGAUUUUCCAGUAGCUUCUUCUUCAAACUUCCAAUUUCAUCCAGAAGUUUAUUUACUUUCAUAGAAGCUGCUGUGUUAUUUAAUUGCAACUGUAUCAUUUCUGUGUUCAUUGAACUAAUCUUCUGCUUGUCCUCAAGUCGUUCUUGCAGAAGCUUUUCAAUGUUUCUGUUGAGGGCUCCAGUUGUUUGAUUCAUUACAAUUGAAUUUGUGUGUAGGUUAUCGAGUGCAUAUAUCAUCAUGUGACUGAGGACUAGAUACCUCUUUUGAUCCAUGCUCGCACAUCUUUUAAACUUUUCAAAAUCUUCCACACCUAAUGUGUUAUCAAUCCCGAUGAAGUCCUUUUGAUAACUUGCAUCAAAUUUCAUGAAUUCUUCUUGGUACAGUUGAUCAAACUGUGACUGAGCUUCAGUGAUGGUGAUGCUUUGAUCUUCUUCAGCUCCAACUUCAGUUCUCUUCUUUUUCCUUCCCGUUGUCUUCUUUUCCUUUUUCUUGGAAGACUCAUUAUUUUGUUGAGGAUAAUGAAUGACAUUACAUUCUUCUUGGUUGAUGUUGGAAUGCUCCUUUGUUGGUUCUUCAGAACAAGGAAUACCUCCACCAAUCUACACAGUGACACAUUAAAUAGUUGUUAAAUUACAUAAUAAUGUCAUUGUUUCGUAAACAUUGUUUAUUAAACUUUAAAAAACGCAAACUAUUUACUGAAUGUACAAAUUAUUAAAAGAGAAUCAUACUAGUUUGCAUAAUAGAGUAAUAUAUGUUACUAUUUAUUGAAAUACACUUUUCUUUUUGACACUAUUUCUGUUUUAUAUAAAUGACACUAUUGCUUGAUCUGUUUUAUAUAAAUGACACUUCUGAAACUUUAAACUGUAAAGACCACUAUGUUAUGAAACUGUAAAGUGCAAAAAUAUACUGUUUAUUGAAAUACUUUUAUUAUUUGUCCUUACCUCAAUUUCUUCAACUCGAAUGUCUCUGAUUGCUUUGUGGAUUUUCGUUAUGUCCCAUCUUCCAAUGGCAGGAAUCAUGUUUUCUCGCCCACUUAUUGUCUCCACCAGAUUGGUGUGAAGACAAAUCCAAUACUGCAUGAAAUAAGAACUUUGAAUUACUUUCUUGUGUAAUUUAUAAGACAUAAUUCAUGUUUUUUAAAUAUAGUUCUUAUUUCUUACCAAAAUAAGGGCAGUGCAUCCGCUUGUUGUUGCUGAUUCUUCUCCAUUUUUCCUCUUUUUCUUCGAUUUGUUAAUCCUCUUGAACAAGUAGUCCCUCACUCCUUUUGCCCAGUUGUAUUUGCUGAUUUGGUCCAAAGCUCCACAAAUUGUUAUGAAGCUCCACGCUAUGUAAGUUCCAGAUGUUGCAAAUAACAGUGAUUGUAGCAGAUGCACACAUAUAAUUGAAGCAGUAGCUUUUGCCCCUUCAGGAGUUUUGUCUUGGACUGAUUUUUGGUAUGCUUCAACAAUGUCCUUUUUUUUCACUAUUUUUUGCUUUGCAAAGUAUGCUUUGACAAAGCUGUCCUUCAUGUUCUUUGUGGAUUUGUCUGUAUUUGGUAGUUCAACCCCUUGGUUGUUCAAUCCAAAUAUUUCAACGACGUCUUCACUUGUUAUUGCUUUUGGCUCAUGAUCUCCGAAUUUGAACUGUUGUUGCUUGGAAUCAUAGCAUUGUAUGAUCUUGAUCAGAUCCAUAUCAGACUUCUUUUUUCUGUCCGUUGCAACAAUUUCAUCAUUCAUGUAGAACUUGAUUAGACUCCAAAAUGGUGUUUCGGCCAAAUGAUUGAUGACAUCUUGGCGUUGUUGAAGCAUUGGUUUGUACAAUUGCAUUGCAUUUGCAAACCCGAAAACGUUGCAUCUAUAUUGAACAUAAGAAGUUGCAGGUCUUUUAUUCUCUUUCUUACGUGGACUCUUUACAGCGAAAGUCUUUAUUCUUAGUUUCUUUGUUCCGUCCAUCUGUAAGAAUAAACAUAGUUUAAUUAUUACAACUAUUUUUUACCAAAGCAAACUGAACUAUUUAUUAAACUGAAGUAGAAAACCACACUUUUUUACCAAAACAAACUGAACUAUUUAUCAAAGUGACCUAGAAAACCACACUUUUUUUACCAAAGCAAACUGAACUAUUUAUCAAACUGAACUAUUUAUCAAACUAAACCAUUUAGCAAACUGAACUAUUUAUCAAACUAAACUAUUUAUCAAACUGAAGUAGAAAACAACACUUUUUAACCAAAACAAACUGAACUAUUUAUCAAAGUGAACUAAAAAACCACACUUUUUUUACUAAAAUAAACUGAACUAUUUAUCAAGGUACACUAGAAAACCACACUUUUUUACCAGAGCAAACUGAACUAUUUAGCAAACUGAACCAUUUAGCAAACUGAACUAUUUUAUCAAAAAAUGAAGUAGAAAACCACACCUUUUUACCAAAACAAACUGAACUAUUUAUCAAAGUGAACUAAAAAACCACACUUUUUUACCAAAGCAAACUGAACUUUUAUCAAACUAAACUAUUUAGCAAACUGAACUAUUUAUCAAACUGAACCAUUUAGCAAACUGAACUAUUUAUCAAACUGAACUAUAUAUCAAACUGAAUCACUUAGCAAACUGAACUAUUUAUUAAACUGAAGUAGAAAACCGCACUUCUUUACCAAAACAAACUGAACUAUUUAUCAAACUGAACUAGAAAACCACACUUUUUUACAAAACAAACUGAACUAUUUAUCAAACUGAACUAUUUAGCAAACUCAACUAUUUAUCAAACUGAACCAUUUAGCAAACUGAACUAUUUAUCAAACUGAAGUAGAAAACCACACUCGUUCGUGAAUGCAUCUCAGAUUUUACUAUUUCCUUACAUUUUAAUUCUAUUUACAAAUGAAGCAAAUUGUAAACUAUUUCGUAAACACUGUUUAUUGAACUUAAAAAUCGUGAACUGUUUUGUAAACACUAUAUAUUAAACUAAAACACCACCGGAAUAGAAUGUUGAUUAUAUUUAAGUUAUUUAAGCAAAGAAAACAACAUAUGAGGGCAAGAAAAUACUAUUUAAAGGUUAUAAGAAAACGAGCAGUUAUCAAAGUGAAGUAAAAAUAUACCAUUUUGCAGAAACAUUGCUAUUCGAAGCAUGCAAACUUACAUAUUACUGUAAAAUCACCAAAAAUAUCAGAAAUUUUGUGGUAUGUACCUCUGUUUCUUCUCUGUUGCUUUUAUUUCCCAAAUUUUUUGUGUGUUUUCGUCUGGAUGCAAAUCAGAACUGUGAACUGGAAACAUAAUUCAUUUUUUAGAAUCUCAAACAUGCAAAUGCACAUAUUUAGUAAAUUAAAGUAAGAAAUCAUCAAGAAUAUCAGAAAUUAUAGGUUCGUACCUGUGUUUGUCCGAUUUCGACUCUGCAAACAUACAGUUCGAAUGUUUUCAGUUUUUCGUCUUCAAAUGUAGUUUUUGGGUUGAGAAAUUCCGGAUUUGAUGUGUAGAUUAUUGCUUGAAAACUUGAAUCGAACUUGAAAACGCUUUGAGAUCUUGACGUUUGGAGUAAUGGAGGUUUCGAUUUUUUGGUACGGUGUGAAGGGGCUGGUGAACAUUAAUGGCGUUGGGAGGGAUGAUGAAUUUUAGUAACUUCGGCUAACGGGCCUGGGUUAGGCUCCGUUAGGGGCAAUUUUGGAAUAUUAAUUGUUAUGCGGUUUGGGCUUUUUGGUGAGCCCGUGUGUUUUAGUUUUGUAGGGCCUAAGAUAAAAGUUUUGUGUCCUUAUGAUUAAAAUUUAAGCCCUUUUCAUUAAAUAAUAGUUUAGGGUAGUUUUUCAUUAAAUAAAAGUUAAUUCAAUCCCUUUUUAUUAAAGCUCCCUUAAAUCAAACAAUGGCAGCCUGGCAGGUGUCGUGAUGUCCCAAAACUUUGUGGAGGCACAUCCAAAUUUAUGACCACGUUAGCCUCAAUCCUAUUCAUAUUUAAACCAGUGAUGGUAUGAGUCCGAGAGACAAUUUGGUAGUAUUAUCUUGUUAUCUUCUCGGAAGAAAUAAAUUGUAGAUGCUAAAAAUACUUUUUUCUAGAGAAAGAGGACCACAUUCAUUCACAAUGGUCCUCCUGUUAUUUUGUUCAAAGAUGGUUUAGGGUUACUCAAUUUUUUCUUUUCAAAAAUAAUUUCUUAAAAAAGUUGGGACUUCUAUUGUAAUUGAUAAGUUAAAUCUAGGGAACUUUAACAAAAACUCGUUGUACUGUUUACUUUAACAAAAAAUCAUAUUUUUACACUAAAAAUUCAACUUUGGUACUAUUCAUUAUACCAUUUAUUUUAUUCUUAUCAUUAAAACUCAAAGUUUUCAAGCAUUUUUCAUUAGCUUCCUUUAAAACUAUUGGUCCAAAACAACUCUACACAUGCUUCUCAAAAAGUACUUUUAUCAUUGGAAGUAGGUGAACAAUAUCAAUGAAUGAAACUUUCAUAUUGACAGUCAACCCAAUCAUUUGUUUUUUUUUUUUUUUUUGCUAAAAGCACUUUUGACACUAUAGUUUGACCAAAUACUUACUUUUUUUUUACAAGUGCUUAUUUUCACAUCAUAACAUAAGCAAUUUCAAAGGAAAAAAUAAUAACCCCAAAUUAACAAUUAAAUUAAUCACAAGCUGGUAAUCCAGUGAUAAAGGAUGAAUUAUGAGACUUCCUUAAAAUUAAAAAGUAGAGGUCUCGGGUUCGAAACCCGCUGCUGUCGUGGAAGCCAGACUUGUGGCUAGAAGGAGUGCCUUAUGUCUUCCCGACAUUCGAAAUAGAUGGAUAACUGUGACUUGCCAUCAGUUGUCUCCCUUUCAAAAUUCCGCCUCUUCAACUCGACCUUCCCCAUUCUCUCUCUUUCUAAAAUGGGUUCGAUCAGCAGUCAACUGGGCUCGCGCCCAUCUCGACCCCGAGUCAAUCGCACCGCCGGUAGUUCCAAACUCCCCUAUUUCGUUUGCGGUGGCUCCUCUGCACCUGCUACUCACGAGUAAACCUGGCAUUUUGGACCCGACCCGUUAACCCGACCCAACCCCGACCCGUUAAUAUUAGUAUUUAGGUGGAUACUUAACAGGUCGGGUCGUUAACGGGUGAACCCGUUAAAUAACGGAUCACUUUAGGUCAACCCAUUAACACCCGUUAAUUGAUGAUGUUUUAGUAAUUUUAAUAAAAUCUUGAAACAAAACAUAAACUCUAUGAAAAUAAUAAUAAUAAUAAUAAUAAUUGUUAACGUGUGUUUACUCGUUAGUUUAACGGGUCAGAUUCAGAUGACCCGUUAGCUUAACGGGUUAGGUUCAGAUGACCCGUUAACUUAACGGGUCGGAUUGAACCCAAUGCAAACCCAAUAAAUCCGACUCGUUUACAAGUCUACUCACGAGAUACCCUUUUCUUCUACUUCAUCACCAACCGUCAAUAAGCACUAAUCUAACUGCCAAGAAUAAUCUAACGGCCAAGAAUCCUGAUGUACCCUAUAAUUCAAUCCGUGCUAUACAAACCUAAAAGAGCAGUUUCCUAAUUCCUAAAGUUUCGGCAACCUCGCAGCCCAACCAUGUUUGGACUUUAUUGACCGCGUGUCGCACGCUUGCACCCACCACCAAUCACCAUCAGAUCUCUGAUGGUUGACCAGUCAACGCGCCUUCUCAUUGCGCCCAUUGACGCCUUCUCCUCCCCCACCACCAGGCCCACCACUAUUACACAUGCUCCGCCGCCGCUUUUCACCUCCUUCCGCCGCCAAUAACUAACUUAUUUCUUACCAUAGUUUUUACGAAAAUAUUCUCAAAAAGCAAAUUAAAAGGAAAAUUAAUAUCGCAAUAACAUUCAUUAAGCCAAAGUGACCAAGGGGGAUAGAGAAUUUUCUCGAGAAACAAACAGAAAAUAGAGGGAAAUGCGAUGCGAUUUCGAGCAACUUCACCCAAAUAUAAUCACAAAUACUAUACUUAUUGAAGUGGAGGACGUGAUCAGAUCCUAUUUUUUCCACGUACACAUCCAUUUGAUGAUCUAAUAGUAUAUAAUUUCCCUAAAUUUCAAAAGUUAAACCCUAACAGAUGGAGAUUCGGAUCUAAAUUCAGCACCUGGAUUGAGAUAGAUGACUACCGUGUGCGGCACUAGGCGGCAGGGUUGGCGGCAUUGGUGCCGUCGGAGGAGGCUUUGUGUCCCAUCAUCUUCUUGAACUCCUCGAAAUUCACAUUCCCGUCGCCGUCGGCAUCGACGGUCUUGAUCAUCCGAUGGCAGUCCUCGAUCGUGCAGGCCAUGUUGAGGCGGUUGAGCACCAGGUGGAGCUCGUUGGCGGAGAUGAGGCCGUUCCGAUCCUGGUCGUAGAGAUCGAAGGCGUCUUUGAGCUCGGUGACGCCGCCGUCCUUGGGGCCGGCGACCCAGAAGGCGUUGAACUCGUCGAGGCAAAUGAAGCCGUCGUUGUCGGUGUCGAGAUCGACCAUGAAGCGCUUGAGCUCGUCUUCGGAGACGGUGGAGCCGAGGGCCGUGAGGACGUUGCCGAGCUCGUUGACGGAGAUCUUCCCAUCGCCGUUGGAGUCGAAGCUUUUGAAGACCUUCCGGACCUCGUCGGUGACGGCGGGCUUGGGGUCGGUGACGGCGGGUUUGGGGUCGGUGGAGGCUGGAGCACAGUUGGUUGCCAUGGUGGUUGUGGUUUUUUGGUAAAUUGGUAUUCCCAGAGUCUGCAGAUUUGAAGAGGGAAAGGGGGAAGUCUUUGGGUA
This 27483-nucleotide long non-coding RNA is filed under the name Malus domestica (apple). RNAcentral's name for it is "long non-coding RNA (MDOM_LNC006359)". The record is from RNAcentral. Lineage: Eukaryota; Viridiplantae; Streptophyta; Magnoliopsida; Rosales; Rosaceae.